This 564-nucleotide ribosomal RNA is filed under the name uncultured bacterium. RNAcentral describes it as "bacterial SSU rRNA". It matches the Rfam family "Bacterial small subunit ribosomal RNA", at positions 338 to 916 of the family's 1533-position model. The record is from RNAcentral.
CCUACGGGAGGCAGCAGUGGGGAAUCUUGCGCAAUGGGCGAAAGCCUGACGUAGCAACGCCGCGUGAGGGACGAAGGUUUUCUGAAUUGUAAACCUCUUUCAGCAGGGAAGAUAAUGACGGUACCUGCAGAAGAAGCACCGGCUAACUACGUGCCAGCAGCCGCGGUGAUACGUAGGGUGCAAGCGUUGUCCGGAUUUAUUGGGCGUAAAGAGCUCGUAGGCGGUUUGGUAAGUCGGUUGUGAAAUCCCCAGGCUCAACCUGGGGCCUGCAUUCGAUACUGCCAUGACUAGAGUUUGGUAGGGGACCACGGAAUUCCUGGUGUAGCGGUGGAAUGCGCAGAUAUCAGGAGGAACACCAGUAGCGAAGGCGGUGGUCUGGGCCAAUACUGACGCUGAGGAGCGAAAGCGUGGGGAGCAAACAGGAUUAGAUACCCUGGUAGUCCACGCCGUAAACGGUGGGCACUAGGUGUGGGGACUAUUCAACGGUUUCCGCGCCGACGCUAACGCAUUAAGUGCCCGCCUGGGGAGUACGGCCGCAAGGCUAAAACUCAAAGGAAUUGACGG